GACGAACGCUGGCGGCGUGCUUAACACAUGCAAGUCGAACGGAAAGGCCUUUUCGGUGGUACUCGAGUGGCGAACGGGUGCGUAACACGUGGGCGAUCUGCCCUGCACUCUGGGACAAGCCUGGGAAACUGGGUCCAAUACCGGAUAGGACCGCACUAUAGUGUGUGUGGUGGAAAGAGUUUUCGGUGUAGGGUGAGCCCGCGGCCUAUCAGCCUGUUGGUGGGGUAAUGGCCUACCGAGGCGGCGAGGGGUAGCCGGACUGAGGGGUUGGUCGGCCACAUUGAGACUGAGGGACGGCCGCGGCUGCUACGGGAGGCAGCAGGGGGGAAUAUUGCACAAGGGGCGCAAGCCUGGUGCAGAGGCGCCGCGUGGGGGAUGACGGCGUUCGGGUUGUAAACUCCUUUCGCCAGGGACGAAGCGUGUUGUGACGGUACCUGGAGAGGAAGCACCGGCUAACUACGUG
Molecule: ribosomal RNA, 463 nt
Filed under: uncultured bacterium
Lineage: Bacteria
Description: partial 16S ribosomal RNA
Rfam family: Bacterial small subunit ribosomal RNA
Source: RNAcentral